UACGGAGGUGGCAAGCGUUAUCCGGAAUUACUGGGCGUAAAGCGCACGCAGGCGGUCUUUUAAGUUUGACGUGAAAGCUCCCGGCUUAACUGGGAGAGGUCGUUGAAGACUGGAAGACUUGAGGCAAUGAGAGGGGUGUAGAAUUCCCGGUGUAGUGGUGGAAUGCGUAGAUAUCGGGGGGAAUACCAGUGGCGAAAGCGGCACCCUAGCGUUAGCCUGACGCUCAUGUGCGAAAGCGUGGGGAGCGAACGGG
RNAcentral lists this ribosomal RNA (253 nucleotides) under uncultured bacterium. RNAcentral's name for it is "partial 16S ribosomal RNA". It matches the Rfam family "Bacterial small subunit ribosomal RNA", at positions 524 to 776 of the family's 1533-position model. The record is from RNAcentral.